RNAcentral lists this ribosomal RNA (306 nucleotides) under uncultured bacterium. RNAcentral describes it as "bacterial SSU rRNA". It matches the Rfam family "Bacterial small subunit ribosomal RNA", at positions 1038 to 1350 of the family's 1533-position model. The record is from RNAcentral.
UUUAUAAAUGGCUGUCCUCAGCUCGUGUCGUGAGAUGUUGGGUUAAGUCCCGCAACGAGCGCAACCCUUCCCAUUAGUUGAUACGAAAGGGCACUUUAAUGGGACUGCCGGUGACAAACCGGAGGAAGGUGGGGAUGACGUCAAGUCCUCAUGGCCCUUAUAGGUGGGGCUACACACGUCAUACAAUGGCCGGUACAGAGGGUAGCCAACCCGCGAGGGGGAGCCAAUCCCACAAAACCGGUCGUAGUCCGGAUCGCAGUCUGCAACUCGACUGCGUGAAGUCGGAAUCGCUAGUAAUCGCGGAUC